UUGUUGGUAAGGUAAAAGCUUACCAAGGCUUCGAUCAGUAGCUGGUCUGAGAGGACGGCCAGCCACACUGGGACUGAGACACGGCCCAGACUCCUACGGGAGGCAGCAGUGGGGAAUUUUGGACAAUGGGGGCAACCCUGAUCCAGCCAUGCCGCGUGAGUGAAGAAGGCCUUCGGGUUGUAAAGCUCUUUCAGCCGGAACGAAACGGUUACGGUUAAUACCCGUGACUACUGACGGUACCGGAAGAAGAAGCACCGGCUAACUACGUGCCAGCAGCCGCGGUAAUACGUAGGGUGCGAGCGUUAAUCGGAAUUACUGGGCGUAAAGCGUGCGCAGGUGGUUUUGUAAGUCAGAUGUGAAAGCCCCGGGCUCAACCUGGGAACUGCGUUUGAAACUACAAGACUAGAGUGCGGCAGAGGGGGGUGGAAUUCCGCGUGUAGCAGUGAAAUGCGUAGAGAUGUGGAGGAACACCGAUGGCGAAGGCAGCCCCCUGGGUCAACACUGACGCUCAGGCACGAAAGCAUGGGGAGCAAACAGGAUUAGAUACCCUGGUAGUCCAUGCCCUAAACGAUGUCAACUAGUUGUCGGGCCUUUACGGGCUUGGUAACGUAGCUAACGCGUGAAGUUGACCGCCUGGGGAGUACGAUCGCAAGAUUAAAACUCAAAUGAAUUGACGGGGACCCGCACAAGCGGUGGAUUAUGUGGAUUAAUUCGAUGCAACGCGAAAAACCUUACCUACCCUUGACAUGUAUCGAAGCCCGCAGAAAAGCGGGGGUGCCCGAAAGGGAACGAUAACACAGGUGCUGCAUGGCUGUCGUCAGCUCGUGUCGUGAGAUGUUGGGUUAAGUCCCGCAACGAGCGCAACCCUUGUCAUUAAUUGCCAUCAUUUAGUUGGGCACUUUAAUGAGACUGCCGG
This 916-nucleotide ribosomal RNA is filed under the name uncultured bacterium. RNAcentral's name for it is "bacterial SSU rRNA". It matches the Rfam family "Bacterial small subunit ribosomal RNA", at positions 246 to 1155 of the family's 1533-position model. The record is from RNAcentral.